UAAACCUCUUUCAGUAGGGAAGAAGCGAAAGUGACGGUACCUGCAGAAGAAGCGCCGGCUAACUACGUGCCAGCAGCCGCGGUAAUACGUAGGGCGCAAGCGUUAUCCGGAUUUAUUGGGCGUAAAGAGCUCGUAGGCGGUUUGUCGCGUCUGCCGUGAAAGUCCGAGGCUCAACCUCGGAUCUGCGGUGGGUACGGGCAGACUAGAGUGAUGUAGGGGAGACUGGAAUUCCUGGUGUAGCGGUGAAAUGCGCAGAUAUCAGGAGGAACACCGAUGGCGAAGGCAGGUCUCUGGGCAUUUACUGACGCUGAGGAGCGAAAGCAUGGGGAGCGAACAGGAUUAGAUACCCUGGUAGUCCAUGCCGUAAACGUUGGGCACUAGGUGUGGGGGACAUUCCACGUUUUCCGCGCCGUAGCUAACGCAUUAAGUGCCCCGCCUGGGGAGUACGGCCGCAAGGCUAAAACUCAAAGGAAUUGACGGGGGCCCGCACAAGCGGCGGAGCAUGCGGAUUAAUUCGAUGCAACGCGAAGAACCUUACCAAGGCUUGACAUGUGCCAGACCGCUUCAGAGAUGGAGUUUCCCUUCGGGGCUGGUUCACAGGUGGUGCAUGGUUGUCGUCAGCUCGUGUCGUGAGAUGUUGGGUUAAGUUCCGCAACGAGCGCAACCCUCGUUCCAUGUUGCCAGCACGUAGUGGUGGGGACUCAUGGGAGACUGCCGGGGUCAACUCGGAGGAAGGUGGGGAUGACGUCAAAUCAUCAUGCCCCUUAUGUCUUGGGCUUCACGCAUGCUACAAUGGCCGGUACAAUGGGUUGCGAUACUGUGAGGUGGAGCUAAUCCCUAAAAGCCGGUCUCAGUUCGGAUUGGGGUCUGCAACUCGACCCCAUGAAGUCGGAGUCGCUAGUAAUCGCAGAUCAGC
This 916-nucleotide ribosomal RNA is filed under the name Glutamicibacter arilaitensis. Its description in RNAcentral is "bacterial SSU rRNA". It matches the Rfam family "Bacterial small subunit ribosomal RNA", at positions 426 to 1353 of the family's 1533-position model. The record is from RNAcentral. Lineage: Bacteria; Bacillati; Actinomycetota; Actinomycetes; Micrococcales; Micrococcaceae.